Molecule: unclassified non-coding RNA, 343 nt
Filed under: soil metagenome
Description: partial contains 5.8S ribosomal RNA, internal transcribed spacer 2, and large subunit ribosomal RNA
Rfam family: 5.8S ribosomal RNA (bases 1-120)
Source: RNAcentral
GAUGAAGAACGCAGCGAAAUGCGAUAAGUAAUGUGAAUUGCAGAAUUCAGUGAAUCAUCGAAUCUUUGAACGCACAUUGCGCCCGCCAGUAUUCUGGCGGGCAUGCCUGUUCGAGCGUCAUUUCAACCCUCAGGCCCCGCCUGGCGUUGGGGAUCGGCGCGGCCCUCUCCGGGCUGCCGGCCCCGAAAACUAGUGGCGGUCUCGCUGUAGUCCUCCUCUGCGCAGUAGCAACGCUCGCACUGGAACUCGGCGCGGCCACGCCGUAAAACACCCCCCUUCUGAAAGUUGACCUCGGAUCAGGUAGGAAUACCCGCUGAACUUAAGCAUAUCAAUAAGCGGAGGA